GAGAAGUGCUUUUUGGUACAACUAAAACUUCUGAAAUAUAAAUGGUUUCCUACUGUAAACAGGUUAACAGCAGAAUUACAAGAAAACUAUGGCAUCCUGCACAUUUUUGGAGUAAAAAGGGAUCCAGUGCAGGUUGAGAGGAAUGGUCUACCAAGUUAACAUAGAUACAUCCCUAGAUGCUCAAUGUGGCUGAGCACACCAGCAACAUUCUUAAACAUUAUUCUCAAACCACUUCUAUAUCAAACUUGCAUGUCGACAAUGACAUUAUCCUGCCAAAACAUCACGUUUCAAC
Non-coding RNA from Pelobates cultripes (western spadefoot toad), 292 nucleotides. NCBI's taxonomy places the organism in Eukaryota, Metazoa, Chordata, Amphibia, Anura, Pelobatidae. The record is from the annotation of a GenBank genome assembly.